Non-coding RNA from Aegilops tauschii subsp. strangulata, 1527 nucleotides. NCBI's taxonomy places the organism in Eukaryota, Viridiplantae, Streptophyta, Magnoliopsida, Poales, Poaceae. The record is from RefSeq and is a predicted model, not a curated record.
CCCGAGUGCCCCAUCUCGCCUCUCGCCUUUCCAGUUUCCCCUCGCCUCCGCCAUCGCCUCCUCCCCUCUCCUCUCUCUCCCGUCUCCUCCCCACCCUCUACUGCUCCACCACACACCCACCACCCCUCUGGAUCAGGUGCAGGCCGGCCGGUGCGCGCAGGAGGCGGCACUCCACUCGAGGGCAAAGGGAGGCAACGGCGGCGGUGGCCGCCGUGGACACCCGCGGCUAUGACGAACCCUGCCGCCAGGAGGCCGCCACGGAGGCCCGUCCCGAGCUCGGCUCGCCGAUCCUCCGGUGACCCUCGUUGCACCUAGAUCCGGGUCGGGCGGAUCCGACGGAGGAGCCCUCCCAUGGCACCGGCGGCUCUGGAGAUGAGGGUUGCACAGAGGAAGAGGAGCAGCAGCAGCUCGAGGUCAUUAAGGGAGGAGGCCACAGUCGUCUUACCGCCGCUGCCGAACAGUGAGCGAGAGAAACAACGAUGGUGAGGUCCCCUGCAUCGAUGAGUAGUCGCAGGGAGUCGUCGCCAAGUGCUCCGUCCGCAUCGCCGGAAACAUGCUGCGUGCUCGAGAACGCACGAGUGCCACCACACGUCGCCCACACCCCCUCCUCCGCUCGCUCUCGUCUCCGUCAGGCUGCUGAUGUUCACUGCACUGGAGGGAGAGGACAAGAGUAAGAGAGCAAGAACAAUAGAUGAUUCGGUUAUUUGUGAAACUGACAGCUCUUGUGAGGAGCAAGGAUAGAGAAGGCUAUGAACCAAUGAGAUAAGUUUUAUUUCCAGUUUUUCAAUGAGGAUAUGCCAUAUGUUUAGCUGCUAAUAUUUACAUAUGGUGUACGUAAUAAGUUGUCUUGCUGGCUCUUUAUGUGUAUCGUUUGAAAAAAUUGCGGCACAUGAACAUCAUCUUUAUCCAAAUAUCUUCAGAUAUAACUGACAUCCCAGCAGCGCGUGGGAGCCGGUGUCUUCGGCCAGAGCUGGGUCUCCUUGCCGGCGACCUUGCCAUCACCAGCCUAUCUGCAGUUUUGCAGGGAUGGACAUAUGGAUUGAAUGGUACCCUCCUGAAAUCUACACAGAUGUCAGAUCGGAGAAAGAAGAGAUGAAGAACAAUUUUAAUUGAAGAGUUGAAGAAGACUAAGCACGAGUCCCCCUGAAGUGCUUGACCACCGGCCGGUUGCAGUGGAGGUCAGCAUCACCUCGCUGUGGCCAUCCUGGGCGCCGAGAGAAUUAGCUGAAAAUUCUUGCUGAGAUCCAGGUCACGGGCCAUCCCCAUUCAGGUGGCUAUGAAACUUGUUCCUAACGAAGAUAAAUUUAUGGAGGUGGCUAGGGGAACAGGAGGAGCAAGUUUAGCCUGGCAGGUGCUUCUCAGGUUCGAUGGCUUCCAACAAGGGAGCGAUAUCCAUGCUCUGCAUCAAGGUCGUAGUGCUUUCUUCAUGGGUUCGGCCUUUGCCAUUAAGGCUAAUGAUAAAUUUUGGAAAGUCAAAUAUGACCAUGCUGCUGCAAAGAAAGCCAGAAAAGCCAAGAAAGCCGCCAG